CGAACUAGGCGGUCGGGAAGCCUAGUGGUUAAAGCACCCGCUAAAGACCCGGGUUGUAUUCCUGACAUGGUUAUAAUGUGUGAAGCCCAUUUCUGGUGUGCCCCGCUGCGAUAUUGCUGGAAUAUUGCUAAAAGCGGCGUAAAACCAUACUCACUCACUCACUCACUCACAUCUGCAUUUCUUCUAUUUCAUUAUGUAUUUAGAAUUUCAUGCUGUAAAAACUGUAUUUUAGUCCAGAUACUACUGAGUUGUAUUGACAUUGAUAUAUGUAAUGAAAUCAUGAACUGAUACAAGCUUUGUUAUUGAAUACAAGAGCAUUCCUUUCACAAAUGUUUGAUUGAAAUGCCUUCCUCCUUAUUGAGUUCA
Molecule: long non-coding RNA, 366 nt
Organism: Haliotis rufescens (red abalone)
Lineage: Eukaryota; Metazoa; Mollusca; Gastropoda; Lepetellida; Haliotidae
Exons: 2
Source: RefSeq, a predicted model, not a curated record